AUUGAACGCUGGCGGCAUGCCUUACACAUGCAAGUCGAACGGUAACGCGGGGCAACCUGGCGACGAGUGGCGAACGGGUGAGUAAUAUAUCGGAACGUGCCCAGUUGUGGGGGAUAGCCCGGCGAAAGCCGGAUUAAUACCGCAUACGACCUGAGGGUGAAAGCGGGGGAUCUUCGGACCUCGGCGCAAUUGGAUCGGCCGAUAUCAGAUUAGGUAGUUGGUGGGGUAAAGGCUCACCAAGCCAACGAUCUGUAGCUGGUCUGAGAGGACGACCAGCCACACUGGGACUGAGACACGGCCCAGACUCCUACGGGAGGCAGCAGUGGGGAAUUUUGGGACAAUGGGCGCAAGCCUGAUCCAGCCAUGCCGCGUGCAGGAAGAAGGCCUUCGGGUUGUAAACUGCUUUUGUCAGAGAAGAAAUCUUCUGGGUUAAUAACUCGGGAGGAUGACGGUAUCUGAGAAUAAGCACCGGCUAACUACGUGCCAGCAGCCGCGGUAAACCGU
This 504-nucleotide ribosomal RNA is filed under the name uncultured bacterium. RNAcentral describes it as "bacterial SSU rRNA". It matches the Rfam family "Bacterial small subunit ribosomal RNA", at positions 30 to 528 of the family's 1533-position model. The record is from RNAcentral.